This is a long non-coding RNA of Myotis daubentonii (Daubenton's bat), 836 nucleotides long. RefSeq lists it as uncharacterized. The record is from RefSeq and is a predicted model, not a curated record. NCBI's taxonomy places the organism in Eukaryota, Metazoa, Chordata, Mammalia, Chiroptera, Vespertilionidae.
AAACAGGUUUUCCGGCUCGAUCCCAUGAGACCGACGUCUGGAAUUAAAUGGCCACAGCGACAGAUUAUGAAAUCUCAAAGCCAGCAACCGUGGACUUUUCAUCCUCGAACCCCAAGGGCUCCAGAAUUGAGCUUUAUACCAAGAGUCGCUUUUAAAGGAACCCUCUCACCUGGGGAGGAAGAAGCUCAGAGAAUGGAUGUUGGCUGCUCAAAACCGCCUCCCUCAGGCCUGGCCUUCCCUUGGUGGCAGCAGGGCUCCGCCUCUGGAGAGAGGGCUCGCCCUGAGCGCGCAGCCCUGGCCUCGGUGCGCUUGCCUGUAGGGGAAGGGGGCUUCUCUAGGCUUCAGCCAGAGACCCCGCAAAGCAGCCACAAAAUGCCUCUCGCCCAGCCCAGGCUGCUCUGAGCUCUCUCGGGGCCCGGAGGCCUCUGUAUUUUCCGUCUGUGUUGUCCACCCGCGGCAAGACUAUGGGGGAUGGAGCAAGUGGGGGAGGUGGCGAAGGUGAAGGUGAACAGGAUCAGUGGGGGAUUCUGCGAGGUGGAUGGUUAUCUCACAGAGAUGCCUCUGGGUUAAUGAUAAAUUAUCUCCCCAAUACUCCCGUGUGAGCGCACAGAAGUGAUGCCCUUCCCGGUAAAGCAAUCAAGCCACGAGGUGUGGCUGUGGAGUUGGCGUCACUGUUUCCAGCUGGCAGGUCACCGAAGCUGCAGAGAAAAUGCCCGCCGUAAUGGCAGGUGGGUUUUCCAGGUGUACAAGGUGGCGUCCUCUCCAUAGAGCACAAGCAAACCUUAAGAAUCCUUCGUGCUGGCCGGCGUGGCUCAGUGGUUGAGCAUCACGCUAUG